UACAGAGGUCCCAAGCGUUGUUCGGAUUCAUUGGGCGUAAAGGGUGCGUAGGCGGCGCGGUAAGUCGGGUGUGAAAUCUCGGGGCUUAACUCCGAAACUGCAUUCGAUACUGCCGUGCUUGAGGACUGGAGAGGAGACUGGAAUUUACGGUGUAGCGGUGAAAUGCGUAGAUAUCGUAAGGAAGACCAGUGGCGAAGGCGGAUCUCUGGACAGUUACUGACACUGAGGCACGAAGGCCAGGGGAGCAAACGGG
Molecule: ribosomal RNA, 253 nt
Filed under: uncultured bacterium
Lineage: Bacteria
Description: partial 16S ribosomal RNA
Rfam family: Bacterial small subunit ribosomal RNA
Source: RNAcentral